AUUGAACGCUGGCGGCAGGCCUAACACAUGCAAGUCGAACGGUAACAGGAAGAAGCUUGCUUCUUCGCUGACGAGUGGCGGACGGGUGAGGAAUGUCUGGGAAACUGCCUGAUGGAGGGGGAUAACUACUGGAAACGGUAGCUAAUACCGCAUAAUGUCGCAAGACCAAAGAGGGGGACCUUCGGGCCUCUUGCCAUCGGAUGUGCCCAGAUGGGAUUAGCUAGUAGGUGGGGGAACGGCUCACCUAGGCGACGAUCCCGAGCUGGUCUGAGAGAAUGACCAGCUCCACUAGAACUGAACCCCGCUCCAUACUCCUACGGGACGCCGCAGUAGGAAAAGUUACCCAGUCGGCGCAAGCCUGGUGCAUCUCAUCCACGUCUAUGACAGAGGCCUUCGGGUUGUAAAGUACUUUCAGCGGGGAGGAAGUGUGUACGUUUAAUACCUUUGCUCAUUGACGUUACCCGCUAAAGAAGCACCGGCUAACUCCGUG
RNAcentral lists this ribosomal RNA (490 nucleotides) under uncultured bacterium. Its description in RNAcentral is "partial 16S ribosomal RNA". It matches the Rfam family "Bacterial small subunit ribosomal RNA", at positions 30 to 507 of the family's 1533-position model. The record is from RNAcentral.